CCUACGGGAGGCAGCAGUGGGGAAUAUUGGACAAUGGGCGAAAGCCUGAUCCAGCCAUGCCGCGUGUGUGAAGAAGGCCUUCGGGUUGUAAAGCACUUUCAGUGGGGAAGAAAGCCUUGGGGCUAAUACCCUCGAGGAAGGACAUCACCCACAGAAGAAGCACCGGCUAACUCCGUGCCAGCAGCCGCGGUAAUACGGAGGGUGCGAGCGUUAAUCGGAAUUACUGGGCGUAAAGCGCGCGUAGGCGGUCUGAUAAGCCGGUUGUGAAAGCCCCGGGCUCAACCUGGGAACGGCAUCCGGAACUGUCAGGCUAGAGUGAAGGAGAGGAAGGUAGAAUUCCCGGUGUAGCGGUGAAAUGCGUAGAGAUCGGGAGGAAUACCAGUGGCGAAGGCGGCCUUCUGGACUGACACUGACGCUGAGGUGCGAAAGCGUGGGUAGCAAACAGGAUUAGAUACCCGAGUAGUC
This 465-nucleotide ribosomal RNA is filed under the name Vreelandella stevensii. Its description in RNAcentral is "partial 16S ribosomal RNA". It matches the Rfam family "Bacterial small subunit ribosomal RNA", at positions 338 to 795 of the family's 1533-position model. The record is from RNAcentral. Lineage: Bacteria; Pseudomonadati; Pseudomonadota; Gammaproteobacteria; Oceanospirillales; Halomonadaceae.